CGGCUAGCGCAGAUAACCCUCGUGUAGCUUUGUGCGAAAUUUAAAACAAAACAAACAAACCGUAGUACAUAAAAAAACUUGAAUCUUUGUGCGACUCCUGCCUCGGAGAUGAAGAUGUUUGAGAAGGUGUCAUUUAUUCUAACCAGCGAAUAAUUUCAGUUGGCCAUUUUGGACAUUUUAUAUCUAAGACCGUAGUGACAAAUUCUGUCGAAUGCUUUCUUUAAGUCGACGAAACACCCAACCGUGCAGUGGUUUUUAUAAGCCCUUCUUUCUCAUGGCGGACAAAGCAACUGAAGAGAACUGGUGAAUUGCAAGAUUAGGAACACAGAGAGGAAUCUACUCAGAUAUAUAUGUAUAUGAUGUUUGCUGAUCUUCUUUUAUUUCGUUAUAAUAUCUCCCAAAAACAGGUUAUUUCACACCUACUCUAAGGAAAAAGGACUUUGGUAUUGAAAUGUGGGACGAGAAGAGAUGAAAUAUUGUGUGAAUACAUGCACACAGUAUUCGUCCUGCUGAAGCAAGGAACUUUUUUUUUAUCAAUAAUUGGAUCUCGUUGGUCUAUAUUAUUCCAUUUCAAAUAUGUUUACGACUCAAAUAAUUACAAAAGUAUAAAAAACAAGAAAAAUAAUUUUCAACUUUAGUUCAACAACAUUACAACUGAACAUUACAAAAGGCAGAUUAAUCGAGAAAUAUUCUAUAAUUGACUUUGUAAGUUAUAAUAGUUGCUAUAGUUUUGAUUGUGUUCGGUGAAUUAUGUUGUUAAAAGAUAUAUGUAUAUACAUUUUUAACACUGAUGUGUUCAGGAUUUAUUCAUUUCAAUAUAAUAACCUUUGCAGAUCUGUUCGUUUUUAAAAAAUAACCUGAUGCGUAUGUACUAAUGUUUUAUUUAUUCGGUAUAUUCCAGUGAACUUUCAAAUAAUGAACUAUUAAACGCAUGCACUGAAUUAAAUGACCAUUAACUAAAAGGCUACUACCACAAAGUUAGGAUAAAAAUGGAAUAAUUAAAUCAGCACAAAAGAAGCACUUAGAGUAGACUUAUUCACAAUUUAUUAAAUGUUAUUAAUUCAGUUAUACAUAAACAGUUGUCGGAUAAUGCUUUUCAAAUACUUAGUUUUUAAAGAAACCCAAACUCUGAAUUAUACCAGCUCAAAAUGAUUGCCAAAAAAAUCUUUAUUCGUGAUUAUAACAUUUAAAAAUCGUAUUAUUAUGAAAACUCUAAACGGCUGAUAUGUCAUAUCGUGAUAUAUAGUUCGAGAGAACCUUGAAUAUUAAACUAUUUCAGUUGUAUGUAUCCCAGCAGUAUUAGUCGAAUAAUAAAUCAAGUUUGGACUAUGA
Long non-coding RNA from Limulus polyphemus (Atlantic horseshoe crab), 1332 nucleotides. RefSeq lists it as uncharacterized. The record is from RefSeq and is a predicted model, not a curated record. Lineage: Eukaryota; Metazoa; Arthropoda; Merostomata; Xiphosura; Limulidae. The transcript has 2 exons.